Molecule: ribosomal RNA, 306 nt
Filed under: uncultured bacterium
Lineage: Bacteria
Description: bacterial SSU rRNA
Rfam family: Bacterial small subunit ribosomal RNA
Source: RNAcentral
UACGGAGGGUGCGAGCGUUGUUCGGAAUUACUGGGCGUAAAGCGCGUGCAGGCGGUCUCUUAAGUCUGGUGUGAAAGCCCGGGGCUCACCCCCGGAAGGGCACUGGAGACUGGGAGGCUAGAGUACCGGAGAGGAAGGUGGAAUUCCUGGUGUAGCGGUGAAAUGCGUAGAUAUCAGGAGGAACACCGGUGGCGAAGGCGGCCUUCUGGACGGCUACUGACGCUGAGACGCGAAAGCGUGGGGAGCAAACAGGAUUAGAUACCCUGGUAGUCCACGCCGUAAACGAUGGGUACUAGGUGUUCGGGG